CACAUGCAAGUCGAGGGGAAACGACAUCGAAAGCUUGCUUUUGAUGGGCGUCGACCGGCGCACGGGUGAGUAACGCGUAUCCAACCUGCCCACCACUUGGGGAUAACCUUGCGAGAGUAAGACUAAUACCCAAUGAUAUCUCUAGAAGACAUCUGAAAGAGAUUAAAGAUUUAUCGGUGAUGGAUGGGGAUGCGUCUGAUUAGCUUGUUGGCGGGGUAACGGCCCACCAAGGCGACGAUCAGUAGGGGUUCUGAGAGGAAGGUCCCCCACAUUGGAACUGAGACACGGUCCAAACUCCUACGGGAGGCAGCAGUGAGGAAUAUUGGUCAAUGGACGAGAGUCUGAACCAGCCAAGUAGCGUGCAGGAUGACGGCCCUAUGGGUCGUAAACUGCUUUUAUAAGGGAAUAAAGUGAGUCUCGUGAGACUUUUUGCAUGUACCUUAUGAAUAAGGACCGGCUAAUUCCGUGCCAGCAGCCGCGGUAAUACGGAAGGUCCGGGCGUUAUCCGGAUUUAUUGGGUUUAAAGGGAGCGUAGGCCGGAGAUUAAGCGUGUUGUGAAAUGUAGACGCUCAACGUCUGCACUGCAGCGCGAACUGGUUUCCUUGAGUACGCACAAAGUGGGCGGAAUUCGUGGUGUAGCGGUGAAAUGCUUAGAUAUCACGAAGAACUCCGAUUGCGAAGGCAGCUCACUGGAGCGCAACUGACGCUGAAGCUCGAAAGUGCGGGUAUCGAACAGGAUUAGAUACCCUGGUAGUCCGCACGGUAAACGAUGGAUGCCCGCUGUUGGUCUGAAUAGGUCAGCGGCCAAGCGAAAGCAUUAAGCAUCCCACCUGGGGAGUACGCCGGCAACGGUGAAACUCAAAGGAAUUGACGGGGGCCCGCACAAGCGGAGGAACAUGUGGUUUAAUUCGAUGAUACGCGAGGAACCU
This 929-nucleotide ribosomal RNA is filed under the name uncultured bacterium. RNAcentral's name for it is "bacterial SSU rRNA". It matches the Rfam family "Bacterial small subunit ribosomal RNA", at positions 52 to 971 of the family's 1533-position model. The record is from RNAcentral.